AACAAACCAGUAAAGGUGUGACACUGCCUCCUAAAGAUCAUUAUGUCUCCGAAAAAGGUGUUGAAGAGGCACAUAAUGUUGGGCUUCAUGAAUCCAAGAGGGAAAGGAAUGUAACUUCACAUAAAGAGCGCCCACACUCCCCAAACCAAGGUCCUGGUCUUCCAGUCGAGGCGCCUCCAUCGAAUAUGGAUAAUAGAAAUGAGCAGCGUUCAGUCUCAGGGUUCCGCAAAAAUGGAAACCAAACUAACCGAUAUGGCAG
RNAcentral lists this long non-coding RNA (259 nucleotides) under Gossypium barbadense (sea-island cotton). RNAcentral describes it as "long non-coding RNA (GBAR_LNC002225)". The record is from RNAcentral. Lineage: Eukaryota; Viridiplantae; Streptophyta; Magnoliopsida; Malvales; Malvaceae.